Molecule: long non-coding RNA, 700 nt
Organism: Manihot esculenta (cassava)
Lineage: Eukaryota; Viridiplantae; Streptophyta; Magnoliopsida; Malpighiales; Euphorbiaceae
Exons: 2
Source: RefSeq, a predicted model, not a curated record
AUGGGAAAGUCGGCUUGCCAGUUUCAACAAUCCGAAUUAAACGGCACCGUUCCAUUCUAUAGAAACUAACAUUGAAUUUAAAAUUAGUAAUCGUAUGGAAUGAGCUGGCAAGAGAACCAGAGAAACGACGCAACCAAGCGAAGAGCCGUGCAAGAAAGAAGCUUGCUUGUCUCUCCAAGAACGACUUCCUCCCUCAAAGGUGCCUUAAGGUCAUUGAAAAAUCUUCAUUCUUGCUGUGAGAAAUGCAAGAACAAGUCACAUUGUGGUUCUGUGUCUAGCCUUCUGAAGCAAAUUCCCUAUUGAGAGCCCAUAUCUCGUGUGUGCAAACUACAAGGCAUCCAUGUUUUGCUAAUUGGUAGUUUCUACUAGGGAAUAUUCACAAGAAAGCCAUUACUUUAGAUAUAUUUUCCACAUCAUGGCACACAACAAAUCAAUUUCUUUUGGGUUUUGAGGUAGAGAUGUAUGAGGAUCUGAUUUCAGAAAAAAAAAAUACAAAAAACUGUAUGAGAACUAUUAUUCACCAGAUAAUAGUAUUCUCCAAGAUAAAAGAGCUAGAAAACUGUGGAGAUUUUAAUCACAAUCACAAGAAAUGUCUAACGUUAUACUUGGAUGCUUACUGACAUGUUUUAACUGCUCAAAGCUUCAUAUGAAUGAUGUCAAAUGGAUUAUUGAAUAAUUAUGCUGGUUACAGUUUACUUGA